Molecule: ribosomal RNA, 253 nt
Filed under: uncultured bacterium
Lineage: Bacteria
Description: partial 16S ribosomal RNA
Rfam family: Bacterial small subunit ribosomal RNA
Source: RNAcentral
UACGUAGGGUGCAGGCGUUAAUCGGAAUUACUGGGCGUAAAGCGUGCGUAGGCGGUUCUCCAAGUCCGUUGUGAAAGCCCCGGGCUCAACCUGGGAAUGGCAGUGGAAACUAGGGGACUGGAAUCUGGCAGAGGGGGGUGGAAUGCCGCGUGUAGCAGUGAAAUGCGUAGAGAUGCGGCGGAACACCGAUGGCGAAGGCAGCCCCCUGGGCUGAGAUUGACGCUCAGGCACGAAAGCGUGGGGAGCAAACAGG